This 546-nucleotide ribosomal RNA is filed under the name uncultured Glomeromycotina. Its description in RNAcentral is "SSU rRNA". It matches the Rfam family "Eukaryotic small subunit ribosomal RNA", at positions 548 to 1098 of the family's 1831-position model. The record is from RNAcentral. Lineage: Eukaryota; Fungi; Glomeromycota.
UUGGAGGGCAAGUCUGGUGCCAGCAGCCGCGGUAAUUCCAGCUCCAAUAGCGUAUAUUAAAGUUGUUGCAGUUAAAAAGCUCGUAGUUGAAUUUCGGGAUCAAUUUGUUGGUCGUGCCUCGGUACGUACUGGCAUUAUUGGUUUCUACCUUCUGAAGAACCUUGAUGUCAUUAAUUUGGUGUCUUGGGGAAUCAGGACUGUUACUUUGAAAAAAUUAGAGUGUUUAAAGCAGGCAUACGCUUGAAUACAUUAGCAUGGAAUAAUGAAAUAGGACGUUCGAUUCUAUUUUGUUGGUUUCUAGGAUCGACGUAAUGAUUAAUAGGGAUAGUUGGGGGCAUUAGUAUUCAAUUGUCAGAGGUGAAAUUCUUGGAUUUAUUGAAGACUAACUACUGCGAAAGCAUUUGCCAAGGAUGUUUUCAUUAAUCAAGAACGAAAGUUAGGGGAUCGAAGACGAUCAGAUACCGUCGUAGUCUUAACCAUAAACUAUGCCGACUAGGGAUCGGAUGAUGUUAUUUUUAAUGACUCAUUCGGCGCCUUACGGGAAAC